This is a non-coding RNA of Opitutaceae bacterium, 167 nucleotides long. The record is from Rfam. NCBI's taxonomy places the organism in Bacteria, Pseudomonadati, Verrucomicrobiota, Opitutia, Opitutales, Opitutaceae.
GAAAGAGUAAUCUUUCGGGGGGAGGAAGGCUGGGGGAAACCUGCGAGACGAUGAACAAGAAGCGGAUAAAAGGCCGGCAGGGAGACGACGAGCUGGCACCACACAGCGAAGUCGCAGGGUCAUGCCCUGACGGUAAAUCCGACGUUUGCGCAGGGAAGCAACGCGUU